CAAUACUCCCGCCGGCGACCGGCGCACGGGUGAGUAACACGUAUGAAACCUGCCCGUAGCAGGGGGAUAAGCGGAAGAAAUUCCGUCUAAUACCGCGUAACAACCCGAGGAGGCAUCUCCUCGGGUUUAAAGGAAGCGAUUCCGGCUACGGAUGGUCAUGCGUCGCAUUAGCUAGUUGGCGGGGUAACGGCCCACCAAGGCGACGAUGCGUAGGGGUUCUGGGAGGAAGGUCCCCCACACUGGUACUGAGACACGGACCAGACUCCUACGGAAGGCAGCAG
This 281-nucleotide ribosomal RNA is filed under the name uncultured bacterium. Its description in RNAcentral is "partial 16S ribosomal RNA". It matches the Rfam family "Bacterial small subunit ribosomal RNA", at positions 77 to 354 of the family's 1533-position model. The record is from RNAcentral.